This 65-nucleotide transfer RNA is filed under the name Diplostomum pseudospathaceum. RNAcentral's name for it is "tRNA-Asp". The record is from RNAcentral. Lineage: Eukaryota; Metazoa; Platyhelminthes; Trematoda; Diplostomida; Diplostomidae.
AUAUGCCUAGUUUAAUAAGAAUAAUAGUUUGUCGUACUAUAGGUGGGGUUUGUCUUCGGGGUAUG